UGGGGGAUAUUGCACAAUGGGCGAAAGCCUGAUGCAGCGACGCCGCGUGGGGGAUGAAGGCCUUCGGGUUGUAAACUUCUUUUGCUCUGAACAAGGCAUGCUAAUGGGUGUGUUGAGUGUAGGGGUUGAUUAGCGCCGGCUAACUACGUGCCAGCAGCCGCGGUAAUACGUAGGGCGCGAGCGUUGUCCGGAAUUAUUGGGCGUAAAGGGCUUGUAGGUGGCUGGUUGCGUCUGUCGUGAAAGCUCAUGGCUUAACUGGGGGUUUGCGGUGGGUACGGGCUGGCUUGAGUGCAGUAGGGGAGGCUGGAAUUCCUGGUGUAGCGGUGGAAUGCGCAGAUAUCAGGAGGAAUACCGGUGGCGAAGGCGGGGCUCUGGGCUGUUACUGACACUGAGGAGCGAAAGCAUGGGGAGCGAACAGG
RNAcentral lists this ribosomal RNA (419 nucleotides) under bacterium. Its description in RNAcentral is "partial 16S ribosomal RNA". It matches the Rfam family "Bacterial small subunit ribosomal RNA", at positions 355 to 776 of the family's 1533-position model. The record is from RNAcentral.